Molecule: ribosomal RNA, 468 nt
Filed under: uncultured bacterium
Lineage: Bacteria
Description: partial 16S ribosomal RNA
Rfam family: Bacterial small subunit ribosomal RNA
Source: RNAcentral
GACGAACGCUGGCGGCGUGCUUAACACAUGCGAGUCGAACGGAAAGGCCCUGCUUUUGUGGGGUGCUCGAGUGGCGAACGGGUGAGUAACACGUGAGUAACCUGCCCUUGACUUUGGGAUAACUUCAGGAAACUGGGGCUAAUACCGGAUAGGAGCUCCUGCUGCAUGGUGGGGGUUGGAAAGUUUCGGCGGUUGGGGAUGGACUCGCGGCUUAUCAGCUUGUUGGUGGGGUAGUGGCUUACCAAGGCUUUGACGGGUAGCCGGCCUGAGAGGGUGACCGGCCACAUUGGGACUGAGAUACGGCCCAGACUCCUACGGGAGGCAGCAGUGGGGAAUAUUGCACAAUGGGCGGAAGCCUGAUGCAGCAACGCCGCGUGCGGGAUGACGGCCUACGGGUUGUAAACCGCUUUCGCCUGUGACGAAGCGUGAGUGACGGUAAUGGGUAAAGAAGCACCGGCUAACUACGUG